Molecule: long non-coding RNA, 290 nt
Organism: Gambusia affinis (western mosquitofish)
Lineage: Eukaryota; Metazoa; Chordata; Actinopteri; Cyprinodontiformes; Poeciliidae
Exons: 3
Source: RefSeq, a predicted model, not a curated record
GACAGGAUUACUCCUCCUUCCUCUUGGCUCCGGGGAUCUUCGCCUGGAUCCUGGACAGAAAGAUUCGGUGCGUCGUUUUCAGGAAAAAGCUUGAGGAAGUCACCGAAAGUCGUCUUGAUCAGAAGAAUGAGGAGUUAAAGUCUGACGCAGGAGGCAGAACCAGAGCGGCCUGCCUGAAGACGCGAGGAGCACAAAAGGGCGACUUUUUACGCUGGAACAAAACUUCAAGCAGAGGUCGAUAACGCAGCCGAGAGAUUCAGGUGCUCUGCUGCAUCGAUUCAACAAAACAG